This 449-nucleotide ribosomal RNA is filed under the name uncultured bacterium. RNAcentral's name for it is "bacterial SSU rRNA". It matches the Rfam family "Bacterial small subunit ribosomal RNA", at positions 355 to 825 of the family's 1533-position model. The record is from RNAcentral.
UGGGGAAUAUUGCGCAAUGGGGGAAACCCUGACGCAGCGACGCCGCGUGUGGGAUGAAGGUCUUCGGAUUGUAAACCACUGUCGCGAGGGACGAAGCUCUGACGGUACCUCGAAAGGAAGCACCGGCUAACUCUGUGCCAGCAGCCGCGGUAAUACAGAGGGUGCGAGCGUUGUCCGGAAUCACUGGGCGUAAAGGGCGCGUAGGCGGCCCGGUAAGUAGGGGGUGAAAUCUCAUGGCUCAACUGUGAGGCUGCCUUCUAGACUGCCAGGCUUGAGCACAGUAGAGGCGAGUGGAAUUCCCGGUGUAGCGGUGGAAUGCGUAGAGAUCGGGAAGAACAUCGGUGGCGAAGGCGGCUCGCUGGGCUGUUGCUGACGCUGAGGCGCGAAAGCGUGGGGAGCAAACAGGAUUAGAUACCCAUGUAGUCCCUGAGCGGGCUGGCAAGGCGCAU